This 232-nucleotide ribosomal RNA is filed under the name uncultured bacterium. Its description in RNAcentral is "partial 16S ribosomal RNA". It matches the Rfam family "Bacterial small subunit ribosomal RNA", at positions 99 to 334 of the family's 1533-position model. The record is from RNAcentral.
CGGACGGGUGAGUAAUGUCUGGGAAACUGCCUGAUGGAGGGGGAUAACUACUGGAAACGGUAGCUAAUACCGCAUAACGUCGCAAGACCAAAGAGGGGGACCUUCGGGCCUCUUGCUAUCGGAUGUGCCCAGAUGGGAUUAGCUAGUAGGUGGGGUAACGGCUCACCUAGGCGACGAUCCCUAGCUGGUCUGAGAGGAUGACCAGCCACACUGGAACUGAGACACGGUCCAG